GACGAACGCUGGCGGCGUGCUUAACACAUGCAAGUCGAACGGAAAGGCCCUGCUUUUGUGGGGUGCUCGAGUGGCGAACGGGUGAGUAACACGUGAGUAACCUGCCCUUGACUUUGGGAUAACUUCAGGAAACUGGGGCUAAUACCGGAUAGGAGCUCCUGCUGCAUGGUGGGGGUUGGAAAGUUUCGGCGUUUGGGGCUGGACUCGCGGCUUAUCAGCUUGUUGGUGGGGUAGUGGCUUACCAAGGCUUUGACGGGUAGCCGGCCUGAGAGGGUGACCGGCCACAUUGGGACUGAGAUACGGCCCAGAAGCCUACGGGAGGCAACAGUGGGGAAUAUUACACAAUGAGCGGAAGCCUGAUGCAACAACGCCGCGAGCGGGAUGACGGCCUUCGGGUUGUAAACCGCUUUCGCCUGUGACGAAGCGUGAGUGACGGUAAUGGGUAAAGAAGCACCGGCUAACUACGUG
This 468-nucleotide ribosomal RNA is filed under the name uncultured bacterium. RNAcentral describes it as "partial 16S ribosomal RNA". It matches the Rfam family "Bacterial small subunit ribosomal RNA", at positions 28 to 507 of the family's 1533-position model. The record is from RNAcentral.